GUGUAUAUGAGGACCAGGCUGCUCCAGCUAGAAAAUGUACUGGGGAGACAUUCUUAAGUACCAGCACAUUGCCAGGGAGUGAGAUGACGGUCAACCCUACCUCAAGAAACGAACAAAUAGACAGUGUGCCAUACUUUGGAAAACUACUCUUACUUUGGCUGAAGAUUGUGAAAGGAAACUCUGCUAAGUCUUACUACACUAUUGAGGGAUACUUUGGUGUGACACAUAAUUGAUAAGGAAUGUCACAGGUCUCCAAGGCUGGAACCAUAAUCACCUUCUUCAAGAAGAAAGCUGAGAGAGCUGAUAGGCAUUUCUUGGGUGUCUCACCAUUCUGUUCAGGAUCCCAGGAAUAAUGUUUUAAAAAAUUGUGAGAUAUGAUACUUUUCAAAGAAGAUUCACAAUUUGACCUACUUGAUAGAGCACAGGAAUGGGAAUCAGGGAAACUGUGUUCUAAUUCUGGCUCCAGCACUUGCCUUCAGGCUGAC
Long non-coding RNA from Tachyglossus aculeatus (Australian echidna), 485 nucleotides. RefSeq lists it as uncharacterized. The transcript has 3 exons. Lineage: Eukaryota; Metazoa; Chordata; Mammalia; Monotremata; Tachyglossidae. The record is from RefSeq and is a predicted model, not a curated record.